Molecule: ribosomal RNA, 2849 nt
Filed under: Candidatus Lindowbacteria bacterium RIFCSPLOWO2_02_FULL_62_12
Lineage: Bacteria; Candidatus Lindowiibacteriota
Description: bacterial LSU rRNA
Rfam family: Bacterial large subunit ribosomal RNA
Source: RNAcentral
UCAAGCUACUUAGAGUGCAUGGUGGAUGCCUUGGCAUCAGGAGGCGAUGAAGGACGCGGCAAGCUGCGAUAAGCGACGGGGAGAGGCAAACACUCCGUGAUCCGUCGAUGUCCGAAUGGGGGAACCCAACCGCUUCGGCGGUUAUUCCCCGCUGAAUACAUAGGCGGGGUAAAGCCAACCCGGGGAAUUGAAACAUCUCAGUACCCGGUGGAAAAGAAAGCGAAGCGAUUCCGUCAGUAGUGGCGAGCGAACGCGGAAGAGCCCAAACCGUUUUUGUGUCAAGCCCGAUGGCGUUGCAGAAACGGUGUUGCAGGAGCGAGGUUGAGGGCCCAUCGGGGUCCUCGGAGAGUUACAAACCAAACGGUUAGCCAAACACCUCUGGAAAGGGUGGCGGCACAGGGUGAUAGCCCCGUAGGCGAAAACCGAUUUGGCUCUCUGGCCUUGUUUCCUGAGUAGCAUGGGACACGUGGAAUCCCAUGUGAAACCGGGGGGACCACCCUCCAAGGCUAAAUACUCCCUGAUGACCGAUAGUGAACCAGUACCGUGAGGGAAAGGUGAAAAGAACCGGGGAACCGGAGUGAAAUAGGACCUGAAACCGUGCACUUACCAUCAGUCGGAGCCUGGCCGCAAGGCUGGGUGACGGCGUACCUUUUGCAUAAUGGCUCUGCGAGUUGCGUCUCGGAAGCAAGGCGAAGGCUAAAUCACGCCGAAGCCGAAGCGAAAGCGAGUCCGAACAGGGCGAAUGAGUUUCCGGGAGCAGACCCGAAACCCGUCGAUCUAUUCAUGGACAGGAUGAAGUUCGCUUAACAGCGGAUGGAGGUCCGGACCCACCAUGGUUGAAAACAUGGGGGAUGAGCUGUGAAUAGGAGUGAAAGGCUAACCAAGGCGGGUGAUAGCUGGUUCUCUCCGAAAUAGCUUUAGGGCUAGCCUCAAGACCAUGGCGCCGGGGUAGAGCACUGGAUGGAUGCGGGCCCUUACAAGGGUACCUAGUCCAACCAAACUCCGAAUACGGCGUUUGUAUCUUGGGAGUCAGACAGCGGGGGAUAAGCUUCGUUGUCGAAAGGGGAACAGCCCACAUCGUCGGCUAAGGUCCCCAAAUUCGUGCUAAGUGGUAAAGGCAGUGGGGCCGCACAGACAGCCAGGAGGUUGGCUUAGAAGCAGCCAUCCUUUAAAGAGUGCGUAACAGCUCACUGGUCAAGCGUGCCCUGCACCGAAGAUGUCCGGGGCUCAAGCACGAUACCGAGGCCACGGGUUCAGUCGACAGCUUGCUGUUGAAUGAGCGGUAGGAGAGCGUUGUUGCUGCAGCGAAGGUCAAGCGAAAGCGCGGCUGGAGCGGCAACAAGCGAGAAUGCAGAGAUAAGUAGCGAUAAGGCAGGUGAGAAUCCUGCCCGCCGAUAGCCUAAGGUUUCCUGUGCAAUGUAAGUCAGCGCAGGGUUAGCCGGCCCCUAACGCGAGGCCGAGAGGCGUAGCGGAUGGGAAUCCUGUUAAUAUUCAGGAGCCACGGCGAUGGAGGUUCGAGGUGACUGAGAAGAGUAGGUGAUGCGCAGGGAUGGUCGUCUGCGUCGACGCCUGCAGUCCCGUCGCAAGACGGGGCGAGGGGCGGAGGGACUGGGCGGGGCAACCCGUUUGGGAAGUCACCGAUCUCACGCUUGCAGGAAAUAACCUCAAAACCGUUGAAGUCGUCGUGACCGUACCACAAACCGACACAGGUAGGCAAGGCGAGAAGCCUGAGGCGCGCGAGUGAACCCUCGUUAAGGAACUCGGCAAAAUAGCCCCGUAACUUCGGGAGAAGGGGUGCCCGGGAGGGUGAUGGGACGGCGCAAGUCGCUCCCUGAGCUUUCCCAGGUCACAGCAAAGAGGCUCUAGCGACUGUUUAACAAAAACACAGGACUCUGCAAAGUCGUGAAGACGACGUAUAGGGUCUGACGCCUGCCCGGUGCCGGAAGGUUAAGGUGAGAGGUUAGCCGCAAGGCGAGGCCUUGAUCCGAAGCCCCGGUAAACGGCGGCCGUAACUAUAACGGUCCUAAGGUUAACUUCAUGCUAGCCCUAGUAAAAUUGGGCUAUAUGCUGGAAAGUCUGUGUAUCUUAUGCUACUUCCGCAAAGGGAGUAACAAUGCAUGAGUGCAGAUAAUCAGCAGGAAAGCCUAAAAACCAUCGGAUGGAUAGUUGGUUUUGUUGAUGGUGAAGGAUGUUUCUCUGUGACUCUACAGAGAAUGUCAUCAAUGAAAUCCGGCUGGCAGGUUUUCCCCGAAUUUGUUGUGACNNNNNNNNNNNNCAGUUUGUCAGUGCUGCGGCAUCUUCAAGAGUAUUUUGGAUGCGGAAGAAUAUUUGUGAAUCAACGGGUCGAUAAUCACAGAGAGCAUCUGUAUCGGUUCUGUGUGAGGGCGCUCAAUGAUUUACGACAGAAGGUUAUUCCGUUUUUCCAAGAAAAUGUCCUUCGUACAAAGAAGCGAGAAGACUUCGCAAAAUUUGUACGGAUCGUCGAGAUGAUGGGGAAGAAACAACAUCUCGAUCGACGCGGGCUUGAAGGAAUCGCGCGUAUUGUCCAGACGAUGAAUCGCAAGAAGGCCGCGAGGUUUUUAGAAUCCUCAGAGACUAUACGCCCAAUCCGCGUUCUGCGGAAAGAUAUAGUCCGAGCUGCAUAGCGAUAUGCAGAGGGCGGCAGAAAUGACCGCUCCCUUCGCAGUUGCAUCGCGAAGCGUAACAGGUCUGAGCGAAGUUCCUUGUCGGGUAAGUUCCGACCUGCAUGAAUGGCGUAACGAUUGCCACACUGUCUCAGCUAGAGACUCAGCGAAAUUGUAUUGGCCGUGCAGAUGCGGUCUACCCGCGGCAAGACGGAAAGACCCUGU